UAGCCACGGUAAUACCAGCUCUCCGAGUGGUGGGGAUGUUUAUUGGGCCUAAAGCAUCCGUAGCUGGUUGGGCAAGUCCUCCGUUAAACCCAACGAUUUAAUCGUUGGCCUGCGGGGGAGUACUGUCUGGCUUGGAGGCGGGAGAGGCCGACGGUAUUCUCGGGGUAGGGUGGAAAUCCUAUAAUCCCGGGAAGACCACCAGUGGCGAAGGC
This 212-nucleotide ribosomal RNA is filed under the name uncultured archaeon. Its description in RNAcentral is "partial 16S ribosomal RNA". It matches the Rfam family "Archaeal small subunit ribosomal RNA", at positions 462 to 673 of the family's 1478-position model. The record is from RNAcentral.